GGGGCUGCACAGCUUCGACAAAUUUAUACCUUGAAAAAUAAGCAAGUUGACCGCGUAAGACGUCAUAAAACUACUUACAAACAUACAUAAGUGCAAACUUUGUAUCAAAAGCAAAGACAGUAAUUGCUAACGCUUUUACACCGUCUUUCGCUUCCGCUUUAGCUUAAAUAAAGCUUAGCCAUCAAACUACUGAUUCCUAAUAAGUAGAACUUGGUGCCAAAUAUUAGGAUCGCUGUCUCCAUCCUCUUUAAGUGGAAACAGUUAAAAAACAUUGAAGAUCGGCUAUUAAUAUUCUGCUUGUCCUUAACUUAAUAACCUAAAAAAAUAGACAAGAUAAACUUGUAGAAAAUUUUUAAGCAUAUUUUUGGACAUGGGUGCAAUUCCCAUCAGCUCCACCG
This 398-nucleotide transfer-messenger RNA is filed under the name Candidatus Moraniibacteriota bacterium. It matches the Rfam family "transfer-messenger RNA". Rfam says of the family: Bacterial tmRNA, also known as 10Sa RNA or SsrA, is named for its dual tRNA and mRNA-like properties. Its role is to liberate the mRNA from a stalled ribosome. The record is from RNAcentral. Lineage: Bacteria; Candidatus Moraniibacteriota.